RNAcentral lists this ribosomal RNA (405 nucleotides) under uncultured bacterium. Its description in RNAcentral is "bacterial SSU rRNA". It matches the Rfam family "Archaeal small subunit ribosomal RNA", at positions 725 to 1127 of the family's 1478-position model. The record is from RNAcentral.
AGUGAAUAGAUACCCUGGUAGUCCCAGCUGUAAACGAUGCGCGUUAGGUGUAUCGGUGACCACGAGUCACCGAGGUGCCGAAGGGAAACCGUGAAACGUGCCGCCUGGGAAGUACGGUCGCAAGGCUGAAACUUAAGGGAAUUGGCGGGGGAGCACCACAACAGGUGGAGCCUGCGGUUUAAUCGGACUCAACGCCGGGAAGCUCACCGGAUAAGACAGCUGAAUGAUAGCCGGGUUGAAGACUCUGCUUGACUAGCUGAGAGGAGGUGCAUGGCCGUCGUCAGUUCGUACUGUGAAGCAUCCUGUUAAGUCAGGCAACGAGCGAGACCCACGCCAACAGUUGCCAGCGUGUCCUCCGGGAUGGUGGGGACACUGUUGGGACCGCCUCUGCUAAACGAGGAGGAA